GAAGCGGGAAGCCGGCGCCGAGCCAGGCCCCUCAUCAGUCGCCUGUGACGUCCAGGAAAGAGAGGAGGCCGAGCAUGUUCGAGAAGGAAGCAAUCGAGACCUGGCUGCUCCACUUCCAAUCCAGUUCUCUUCUAUGGCCUGGGAAAGCAGUAGAGGAUGGCCCAAGUCCUUGGGCCCCUGCACCUGCGUGGGAGACCCAAAGAAGCUCCUGGCUCCUGGCUUCAGAUUGGUGCACCUCCGGCCAUUGCAGCUAAUUGGGGAGUGAACCAUCGGAUGGAAGACCUUUCUCUCUCUCUCUCUCUCUCUCUCUCUCUCUCUCUCUGCCUCUCCUUUCUCUGUGUAACUCUGACUUUCAAAUAAAUAAAGAAAUAUUUUUUUAAAAAGCAUAAAGGGACACUAAAGUAGUUAUGGUAAAAGUUACUGUGUCAGUUUUCAUCAAAUCAAAGCAGUUAUGAUUUCAUUCAGUUUAUUUAAAACUGUAAAAGGCUGGGCAUGUUAAAUCCAAAUUGAACUUCUGUAGAUGAAAACUACUAUGUCAGAGAUGAAAAUGUACUGAAUGAAAUUAACAGCAGAUUAAACACUGCAGAGGAAAAAAUUAGUGGGGUCAGAGACUUAGAGGAAAUAGAGACAUUGAGCAGUAGAAGAACUUCAAGUGGACUAAUGUAAUUUGAGCCACCAAAUGAGAAAAAACGAGGAGGGGACAGACAAUAUUUGAAGUAGAACUGUGGAUACAAAAUUCCCAAAUUUAUUGGAAACUAUAAAGUAUAAAUCAAUGAAACUCAGUAAGCCAGUUCAAGAAACAUGAAGAAAAUUAUGCCAAGACAUACUUGAAGCCAGUGAUUUAAAAACUAAAGGACAACUAGAAAAAAAAAUUACGUACAGAGAAAAAAAAAGGAAUCAGAUUUCUUCUCCAAACAGCACAAGAGAGAAAACACAGAGGCAUCAUCUUUACUGAACGAGAAGUCUUCAACCUAGGAUAUUAGAGCGCCUGGAUUCAGUACCCAGCUGUUAAUCACUCCAGCUUCCUGCUAAUGCACACCCUGGAAAUGGUGAUGGUACAGGUGUGAUCAGGUUCCUGUAUCCCACUUGGGAAUCUUGGAUUGAGUUCCCAGCUCCUGGCUUUGAUUCUCAGCAGGGGCCUUUGAGGCAUUAGAACCAGAUAUGGCAGGAAUAUUAUAAUUAUCAUGAUACUUAAAGCUGAUUACUUUGUUGAGGACUACAGUUGAUAAAAAUAAAUAACAUGCAAAAGUAGAUGAGCAAUGUAGGAAAAAUGGAAGAACAAGAUGAAAUAGUACAACUAAAAAAUACUAACAUAAAUGAAGUAUGAUUUUGGUAGGCUUAACUUACUAGACUGGAUAGACUAGAGGAAGGAACCUUUGAGCUUUAGGAGGUAGUAAUACAAAAUGCCAAGACUGUAAAGCAAGAAGAAAGACUGAAAAAAAAUCCAAAAAACUAUAAAAGAUGAAAAUUGCUGUUAAUGGAAAUAUUAGGGGAAUAAAGAAAGGGAUAGAUAACAUAGUUUAAGUGGUAAUGACAGAAUUUUUCCAAAAAUUAAUAUCAGACACCAUUCCCACAGAUCCAGGAAGAUCAGGACACAGAGCAGGAAAUGUGCCAAAAUAAAACAAGAAACACAUGUAGGCAUGUCAUUUUUAAAUUAUACAAGUCAUAAGUAGAUUACAUACCAGGAAAAAUUAUCCUUUGAGUAGGGACAUGAAGACACUCAGAUGAAAAUUGAGAGAAUUACUAGUAAACCUGACCUGCAAUGAAUGUUGGUAGAAGUUCAUUAAAUAGAAGGGAAAUAAUAUAGAUCAGAAAUUUCAAUCUACCUGAAGAAAGGAGAGUCAUCAAAAAAUGAAUGAAUGAAAAUAAAAUACUUUAUUUCCCUAUUCUUGAUAUAACAGAUAACUUUAAAAUCAUAAUAGCCACCAAAGAAAAACAGCAGUGUACAAACACAUAAUUCAUUUUAAGAAAUGGUGAGCUGCUGUGGCACAGCAUUCUAUAUGAGUGCCCAUUCCAGGUCUAGAUGUUCCAUGUGCCAUUGAACUCCCUGCUACUGUGCCAGGGAGAGCAGUGGAAGAUGGCCCAAAUGCUUGAGACCCUGUACCCACAUGGGAAAUCCAAAUGGAGUUCCAGGCUCCUGACUUUGGCCUGACCCAACCCCAGGGAAGCUCCUGGCUCCUGGCUUCAAUCAGGUGGUUGUAGCCAUUUGGGAGUGGAUCAGCGGAUGGAAUAUCUUUUUCUUUCAGUUUUUUUCAUGGCUUUUUCAGGUCUAGGGGUUAUUUUUUUUUUUUAAUUUUAUCUAAGUUAUACAAGUUUCAUGUAUUUCAUAUAUGCAGAUUUAGGAACAUAGUGAUACUCCUCCCCCCUUCCCUCCUGCCCAUGCUCCAUCCCUUUCUCCUCCCUCUCACAUUGAUGGAGGACCUUUCUCUCUGUCUUUCCCUCUCUGCGGCUCUACCUCUGAAAUAAAUAAAUAAUUUUUUUUUUAAAGCAAACAGGAAUAACUAUAGCAAAUGAAAUAGACUUUAAGUCACAAACUAGAAAAAGAGAAGGUCACUGUAUAAUGAUAAAGGCAUCAAUUCAACAAAAGAUUAUACCAGUUGUAAAUGUGUAUGUAGUCAAUGUUGGAUAUUAUUGGAUCUAAAAAAAUAUAUAGGCUCUAAUAUAGUAGUUGGGGAUUUCAGUGUUCCACUUUCCAUCAGAAGAUGGAUCAGACAAAAGAUGAACAAAGAAAGCUCAUAGUUAAAUAUACUAUAACCAAAAUACUGGCCCCCAUAAUUUCCCUUUUUUAAAUUAAUUUGCCAUUCUUGCCUAACUUCUCUUGCAAAUUUUUGGGUUUCUGUGUCUUACUUAAAACAGUGUUGAAUCUAUGCCUAAAUGUUUUGUCUUCUGAGCUUAAAGCAUUUGCUAAGAUUUCUUGGGUUGUCACACUUUUAUAAAGUAUAAUUGUAUAAACCAAGAUAAAAACAUUUACCUGUUUUCUACUGAAUUUCUCCAAAGUUCGAAAAGUACCUUAAAGUAGCUACAGUUAAAAUUCUAUAUAUCUUUCAUAAUGUUUUUCUGUUAAGUUAGAUAUGCUAAUGGACUAUUUCAAAAUAUAAGUGAAGAAAACCAAUAUGUAAAGGAGAGAGAAAUGUAAAGGAAGUUAUAAGCAUGAGAAUAUGUAGUUCUGUGGGGCAUGAGGGAUGUGUUGGUAGGGGGAAAAGCAAGUAAUAUUUGUCCUAAAGUAAAAUAACUGGUUGUAUGUAAGUGAAAAGAGGAACAGUAAUAUAAGAAUGAUGUAGAAGCUUUGUGGGAGAUGACUCUUUUGUGCAGUUAGGUUGGCUGAGAUUAGAAGGAAAAUUGUUUACAGUUUUCUAAAAACUGAGCAUUAACAUUAAAGUUACACUAACAUGAAACUAGAAUUUGAUCCGAUAAAUUAAAGUAACAAGGUAACAAGGCUUUCUAAUAAAAAGUUUAUAAGAAGUUCUAAUCUUUUAAAUUUCAACAUCUGGGGGCUGGCGCUGUGGCGUGGCAGGUAAAGCCUCCAUUUGCAGUGCCAGCAUCCCAUAAUAGAUGCCAGUUCAAGUCCAGGCUGCCCCACUUCACAUCCAGCUCUCUGCUAUGGCCUGGGAAAGCAGUGGAAGAUGGCCCAAGUCCUUGGGCCCCUGAACCCACAUGGGAGACCUAGAAGAAGCUCCUGGCUUUGGAUCGAUGCAGCUCCAGCUGUUGCGGCCAUCUGGGAAGUCAACCAGUGGAUGGAAGACCUCUCUCUCUCUCUCUGCUUCUGCCUCUCUGUAACUGCCUUUCAAAUAAAUAAAUAAACCUUAACAUUUUUUUAAAAAAUUAUUACUGGAAAAACCACUUUAAAAAUAAAUAAAAAAUAAAAAAAU
This is an RNA transcript of Lepus europaeus (European hare), 3869 nucleotides long. It is a transcript of the gene named dynein light chain Tctex-type 2, with no coding region annotated. NCBI's taxonomy places the organism in Eukaryota, Metazoa, Chordata, Mammalia, Lagomorpha, Leporidae. The transcript has 2 exons. The record is from RefSeq and is a predicted model, not a curated record.